UUGGAGGGCAAGUCUGGUGCCAGCAGCCGCGGUAAUUCCAGUUCCAAUAGCGUAUAUUAAAGUUGUUGCAGUUAAAAAGCUCGUAGUUGAAUUUCGGGGUUAGUAGGUUGGUCAUGCCUCUGGUAUGUACUGGUCUCACUGAUUCCUCCUUCCUGAUGAGCCGUAAUGCCAUUAAUUUGGUGUUGCGGGGAAUUUGGACUGUUACUUUGAAAAAAUUAGAGUGUUUAAAGCAAGCUAACGCUUGAAUACAUUAGCAUGGAAUAAUGAAAUAGGACGUUCGAUCCUAUUUUGUUGGUUUCUAGGAUUGACGUAAUGAUUAAUAGGGAUAGUUGGGGGCAUUAGUAUUCAAUUGUCAGAGGUGAAAUUCUUGGAUUUAUUGAAGACUAACUACUGCGAAAGCAUUUGCCAAGGAUGUUUUCAUUAAUCAAGAACGAAAGUUAGGGGAUCGAAGACGAUCAGAUACCGUCGUAGUCUUAACCAUAAACUAUGCCGACUAGGGAUCGGAUGAUGUUAAUUUUUUAAUGACUCAUUCGGCGCCUUACGGGAAAC
RNAcentral lists this ribosomal RNA (549 nucleotides) under uncultured Glomeromycotina. Its description in RNAcentral is "SSU rRNA". It matches the Rfam family "Eukaryotic small subunit ribosomal RNA", at positions 548 to 1098 of the family's 1831-position model. The record is from RNAcentral. Lineage: Eukaryota; Fungi; Glomeromycota.